ACAAAGCAAAAAAAAUCCAAACAGACCUAAAUUUUAUAGAGACCAAAAUUUGAUUUAAAAAAAUACAGUUUACAAUGAUGCAUUUUAGUGCUAAUGCUCUUUGAAGUUUAAAUCAUGAAAUUCAAGCUAACCUUUUAUAUAUGUAGUGGAGCAUUGUGGUUUAUGGCUCAACUGAUAUAUUUGUGAUGACUGAGUGGGCUGAGCAGUAGCUAUUGGUCUGAGUAAAUGUGUGGUAACAAUGAGUGCCCACAUAAUGAGCCUACAGCCCAUGAAUGAUGUCACCUAACUCUGAAAUCAUGGGGUGAAAAAACUAUGGCAGAAUAAGUGAAUUGUACACACACGGUGUGAAUUGCAAAUAGAAUGCAGAAAAGCAGCUCUAAUUGUUGAACAAUCCUACAUCUAGUAAAAUUAGCUAGCAAGACCUUCUGUAUUAAAUUAUAAAACUUGGCAUGCUGUGAGCUAACACUGAUCACAUGUUGUAACCGAGAGGGACAGAGACACUUUCCAGAUCAGCAUUAUUAUUGACAUUGGUUUGUUCCGAUAUCACAUUUCUCUUUACAGAUCUGAUAUUUCUAGUAGAUGUCUUCUUCCUAAAAAAUAAAAUAGAGUUCUUG
Molecule: non-coding RNA, 614 nt
Organism: Pelobates cultripes (western spadefoot toad)
Lineage: Eukaryota; Metazoa; Chordata; Amphibia; Anura; Pelobatidae
Source: the annotation of a GenBank genome assembly